RNAcentral lists this long non-coding RNA (818 nucleotides) under Salvia miltiorrhiza (redroot sage). Its description in RNAcentral is "long non-coding RNA (SMIL_LNC006514)". Lineage: Eukaryota; Viridiplantae; Streptophyta; Magnoliopsida; Lamiales; Lamiaceae. The record is from RNAcentral.
UAAUCAAAUAAGAAAGAUAAUGUAGGGGUAACUAUUAGAAGAUGCCAGAGUUGAGCUCGAGAAGCCUACGCCAGAGUUGAGCUCAUGAAGCCCACGCCUGAGUUGAGCUCGUGUAAUCCACGAUCAGAGAUGAGCUCGUGAAGCCCACACCCCCGUUGAGCUUGUGAAGUCCACGAUCAGAGUUAAGCUCGUGGAGUGGCGCUAGAGUUGAGCUCGUGAAGAGACGCCAGAGUUGUCCUCGUGAAGCCCACGCCCGAGUUGAGCUUGUAAAGCCCACGAUCAGAGUUGAGCUCAGGGAAAUGGCAUUAGAGGCGAACCAAGGCAAAGAACGCCCUAGUUGAGCCAAAGUAGACAAAAGGCGAAAUUGAGCCGGGAGAGAAAAAGAGUUGAAGCGUGGGAACCAAGGCCAGAGUUGAGUCGUGGGGAGCAAACACCGAGUCGAGUCGUGGGGAACGAAGAUAAAGCUGAAUCAAGAGGAGGUUCAGUGUUGAUCUCCAUCAAUCUCUGGAUCAGACUUAUUGGCAUGAAGGAAGAAGACCAUGCCAGAGUUGGAGCUCGGAGAGUGUCUCAAGCCCGACAAAAGUUGCAGAAUUAGUUAUAGCGGGAUAAAAGACAGAUUACGAUGGGGAGGUUAGAAGGUACAUGCGGAGUACGUGAAAAAGAGAUUUUACACUUGUACCCCUUUGUAACCUACCAUUAUAAAUAGGAGAAUCAUCAUUUUUUGUAAAGAUUACGCUGAAAAAUAUCAAUACUACGCUCAGUUUCUAGAGAAGUUCCUUAAACUAUUUUCUCUGUGUUUGGAACUCAGGUAAAAACCC